This 2994-nucleotide long non-coding RNA is filed under the name Mus musculus (house mouse). RNAcentral describes it as "long non-coding RNA chr3:31060039-31063033". Lineage: Eukaryota; Metazoa; Chordata; Mammalia; Rodentia; Muridae. The record is from RNAcentral.
CACACACACACACACACACACACACACACACACCCAUAAUACAAGCUCUUGCAACUGGUGUUGGUUGCCUACCAGAACUCCACAGUAAAGGCGAGACCCGAUUCCCGAAGACAUUACACUUUGGUUGCAGGACAUGAAAACAUCAAGUUGGUACUGCCCUGGAAGCUCUCCCAGUCACGGCCACUGGAGUCAGGGAGCAUCCCAGGGAGUAUGAACCCUGGGAGCUACACUAAUGACUAGGAUGCUGAGAUAUAUUAAAAAUGAAUAUUUUAAAUCAGAGCGCCAUUUAAAAUGCUCUUCAGGAGGAAAUCUCUACCCCUUAUCAGGAGGUUUGCUUUCCGUAUAGAACUACACUGCCCUUGUCAGUUCCAACACCGUACCUUGCAUUUCAUUCCAUUUUGUAAAACUUUUCCCUUCCAUCCAAGUACUAACCAGACCCGAUCCUGCUUCCCUUCUGAGAGUAUUUGGGGUGCUGUAUGACUUCUUAAGUGGUUUGCACACUUCUCAUUUUGUCGUAAAGAUCCUGAGAAGCAUCCUUCACCCCAGGACUACUGAGUCUUCGCUGGGUAGCAACUUCUCAGCUGGCCUAGCAACUCAGACAUUGCCAUAUCCUGUUAUUUCCCCUUGUGGAGAAUCAGAAAGCUGUAACUGACUUCAGGGGUCAGUGUGGCUCUAGUGAUGCCCAAUUAACUCUAAAAAGAGAGUUUGAAACUUGCUGCGGAGCAUUUUGUCUUUCUCAUCAAGAGUGCAACACACAAUUGGUCCACAGUCUUAAAGAUUUAUUUAUACAUGAGUGUGCUAUAGCUGUCUUCAGACACACCAGAAGAGGGCAUCAGAUCCCAUUACAGAUGGCUAUGAGUCAUCAUGCGGUUGCUGGGAAUUGAACUCGGGACCUCUGGGAGAGUAGUCAGUGCUCUUAACCGCUGAGCCAUCUCUCCAGCCCCAGACCACAGUCUUAAACCCACCCUGUGUACUUGAUGCCCGUUCCCGUGGGUCUGCUUCAAGCCCAGGCCCUUCUCUUGGAGCUGCGUGGCCUCAGUCUUGCCUGUGUUGUCCCACGCCUGAUCUUGAAGUAGUUUGGGCCUCCUGUGUCACAUUCCCGCGGAAUACAUAUUGGACAGCCCAGGGGAAGAGACCCCACGUCUCCUGCUUUCAUCAUGAACAGAGCUCGGCAGAGAACCCUUCGCUGCUCCAGCUGAGCGGAAGCUGCAGAAGCUGCGGUCUUGACAGACCACCCAGAUGGCUUGGAUAAUUUGAUAAUGCUUGGGGGGAAGCUGCACAAAGGAAAGGCCUUCACCCACACAUUAAGUGCUGACCUAGGCUAGACCUGCCUCUGCCCGGAAAGUGAGUCAUUGUGGGUUUCUGUGGUAUUCCGCGGCACUGAGGCAAACACAUGUCCCGGCCAAGCCCUAGUGACACAGGUAAAGUGGAAAGCAAGGGAAAGGAGCCUCCUGCAGCCGGAUUCUCACUCCUUCCUAGCUUCCUGUUUUGUCUUGUGCUGUGACGUUAGGGGCUGUUAGUUUCUGUUUUCUUUUAUAAUAUGAAUCUUGGAGCAGAGCUAUUUCAGGAUCGAGAUUGCCUUUGGUGUACUAACCAGAACCCCUCAGCGGCAGGUGUUUCCUCCGUCAGCCAUAGAUUCGGUUCUCAAAAGGCCACAAGGCCACUGAACCCGAUGUGGGUAGAACAUCUUGGGAACACUGGCUUCUGGGAUUUGCACAUAAAUCCUCCUCCCUCCCGCUGCUCCGGCCUCCGGCCAGUGUGGCUUCUUCUGAGAAUACAUCUUUAAUUUUUUAAUUUUUAAUUCUCGUUUUACUUUAUGUGUAUGGGCACUUAGCCUGCGUGGUGCAUGGCUUUCUGUGCACAGGUUGUGUGCAGUGCCUGUAGAGGGCAGAAGAGGGUGUCGGACCCUCCUGGAACUGGGGCUACAAACAAGGGUGGGCUGCCAUGUGGAGGCUAGGAGUGAACCUAGGUCCUUUAGAAGGUCAGGCAGUGCUCUUAACCACAGAGAUAGCUCUCCAGCCUCCACCCUCCUAUGACUUCUUGAGAUGACUUCUGGAGGUAAACCAUGCCUCCUGCUCUUUGGCCUUAGCCCUCAGACUUCAUUUCUUUUGUUGUUGUUGUUGUUUUGUUUGUUUGUUUUCUUUUUUGUUUUGUUUUGUUUUCGAGACAGAGUUUCUCUGUAUAGGACAUGCCCUGGCUGUCCUGGAACUCACUUUGUAGACCAGGCUGGCCUCGAACUCAGAAAUCCACCUGCCUCUGCCUUUUGAGUGCUGGGAUUUAAGGCGUGCACCACCGCUGCUGCCACCGCCGCCACCACCCGGUGUCAGAGAGGAGAUGUUGACCCAGGAGACAUCCAACAUCCGUUUCCUCCAACAGUUACUCUCAAAAGCAGAGCCUUUGUCUCUACCAUCAGCCCACUGGAGGUACCUUGCCAAGGGAGAAAGGGAAGGAGGACUGUCAUUCUUCCAGGCCAGAAGAGAAUUCCCCUGGGCUGGGGUCAUGCCAUUGGAAAAGGAAGCUUUGCGCCUUGGUUCAGCAUCCUUGUUUCUAGAAGCAAAAUGAACAGCAGUGUUAAUCCAGGACUUAGGGUUCUCACAGGGAUGCUGUCUAAGAUAGCCUAGACCAGCAGUCUCCCUUUGGGAAACAGAACGACCCUUUCACAGGGGUCACCUAAGGCCAUCAAAAAAACAAACAAACAAACAGUGUUUACAUUAUGACUCAUAACAGUAGCAAAAUUACAGUUAUGAAGUAGCAACAAAAUAUAUUUUAUGAUUGGAGGGCCACAACAUGAGGAACAGUAUUAAAGGGUCUCAGUGGGGGCUGGAAAAAUGGCUCAGUGGUUAAAAGUACUGACUGCUCUUUCAGAGGUCCUGAGUUCAAAUCCCAGCAACCACAUGGUGGCUCACAACCAUCUGUAAUGGGAAUCCGAUGCCCUCUUUUGGCAUACAGACAUACAUGUAGACAGAGCACUCAUACAUAAAAUAAAUAAAUCUU